GAGCACCUACGGGAGGCAGCAGUGAGGAAUAUUGGUCAAUGGGCGGGAGCCUGAACCAGCCAAGCCGCGUGAAGGAAGAAGGCGCCAGGCGUCGUAAACUUCUUUUGUCGGGGAACAAAGGGCGCCACGCGUGGCGUUGUGAGUGUACCCGAAGAAAAAGCAUCGGCUAACUCCGUGCCAGCAGCCGCGGUAAUACGGAGGAUGCGAGCGUUAUCCGGAUUUAUUGGGCGUAAAGAGAACGCAGGCGGGCUUUUAAGUCUGAUGUGAAAGCAUUCGGCUUAACCGGGGGAGUGCAU
Molecule: ribosomal RNA, 296 nt
Filed under: uncultured bacterium
Lineage: Bacteria
Description: partial 16S ribosomal RNA
Rfam family: Bacterial small subunit ribosomal RNA
Source: RNAcentral